This 515-nucleotide ribosomal RNA is filed under the name uncultured Bacillota bacterium. RNAcentral's name for it is "bacterial SSU rRNA". It matches the Rfam family "Bacterial small subunit ribosomal RNA", at positions 390 to 896 of the family's 1533-position model. Lineage: Bacteria; Bacillati; Bacillota. The record is from RNAcentral.
AGCAACGCCGCGUGAGCGUAAGAAGGUUUUCGGAUCGUAAACUCUGUUGUAAGGGAAGAACACGUACGAGAGUAACUGCUCGUACCUUGACGGUACCUUAUUAGAAAGCCACGGCUAACUACGUGCCAGCAGCCGCGGUAAUACGUAGGUGGCAAGCGUUGUCCGGAAUUAUUGGGCGUAAAGCGCGCGCAGGCGGUUCUUUAAGUCUGAUGUGAAAGCCCACGGCUCAACCGUGGAGGGUCAUUGGAAACUGGAGAACUUGAGUACAGAAGAGGAAAGCGGAAUUCCACGUGUAGCGGUGAAAUGCGUAGAGAUGUGGAGGAACACCAGUGGCGAAGGCGGCUUUCUGGUCUGUAACUGACGCUGAGGCGCGAAGGCGUGGGGAGCAAACAGGAUUAGAUACCCUGGUAGUCCACGCCGUAAACGAUGAGUGCUAAGUGUUAGGGGGUUUCCGCCCCUUAGUGCUGCAGCUAACGCAUUAAGCACUCCGCCUGGGGAGUACGGCCGCAAGGCUG